Brassica napus (rape) is the source of this 5552-nucleotide long non-coding RNA. RefSeq lists it as uncharacterized. NCBI's taxonomy places the organism in Eukaryota, Viridiplantae, Streptophyta, Magnoliopsida, Brassicales, Brassicaceae. The transcript is spliced from 5 exons. The record is from RefSeq and is a predicted model, not a curated record.
GGCAUAUGGUACUGUGGCUGAUACGGUUGACGAAUACCUCCGGCUCGGUGAAACUACUACUGAUCAUGUUUGGAAAAUUUUGUGGACGGAAUAAUAUAUUUAUUCGGCGAUGAGUACCUAAGAAGACCAACACUGGCUGAUCUUCAACGUCUACUUGCUAUUAGAGAGCAACGUGGAUUUCCCGGGAUGAUAGGAAGCAUCGACUAUAUGCAUUGGGAGUGGAAGAAUUGUCCUACCACAUGGAAAGGUCAAUAUUUACGUGGUUCUGGAAAACCCACAAUCGUCUUAGAGGCGGUUGCUUCGUAUGAUCUAUGGAUAUGUCAUGCGUUUUUUGGACCUCCAGGUACCUUAAAUGAUAUCAAUGUUCUUGAUCGCUCACCAGUUUUUGAUGAUAUAAUAAAUGGUCAAGCUCCGCAAGUCACUUAUUCUGUAAAUGGAAGAGAGUAUCAUUUGGCUUACUAUCUCACCGAUGGUAUUUAUCCGAAAUGGGCAAAUUUAUCCAAUCUAUUUCAAUACCACAAGGGCCGAAAGCAGUUUUAUUUGCUCAACAUCAAGAAGCUGUCCGAAAAGAUGUCGAGCGUGCUUUGGGAGUCUUACAAGCUCGCUUUGCCAUCGUUAAAAAUCCAUCACGUUUUUGGGAUAAAGUCAAAAUUGGGAAGAUUAUGAGAGCAUGUAUCAUACUCCAUAAUAUGAUAGUAGAAGACGAACGAGAUGGAUACACUCAAUAUGAUGUUUUAGAGUUCCAACAAGGGGAAGACAACGAAAGUUCACAUGUGGAUCUAACGUAUUCUACAGAUAUCCCGACAAAUAUCGCUAAUAUGAUGGGUGUUCGAACAAGAAUUCGUGAUAGACAAAUGCAUCAACAACUGAAAGCUGAUUUGGUUGAACAUCUCUGGCGUAAAUUUGGACGUGAUGACGACAACAACUGAGCUGGAAUGUUUCUUUUAAAUUAUUCUCGUUUAUUUUAAUAAUCUUUGUUUUAAUGUUUUUUUAAUCUAUGUUUAAAAUUUUAUCUUUUAAUAUGUUUUAUUUAAUAAAUAAAUUUUAUGUUUAAUUAAAUUUUGUUUAAUUAAAUUUUUUCUUUAAGAACCUCAAAUUAAGAACCUACCAUUGCACCUCGAAAACUAAGAGUAUCUUAACUACAAUUUCUUAACAAUCAUUAAUUACUAAAAAAAUAUUAAGAUACCCAAUUGGGCUCUUAGGGUUAAGAGCACCAUUAACGCGGUUUCCUUUGGUGGGUUUUUAAUGUUUUUAUGAUUAAAAAAAAAGAAAAUUAUGCAAUUAGAGAAAGAACGUCUCUUAAUUAGGGUCCAGAAGACACGUCUCUUAUGAGACACGUGUUGGGCAUUCACGUCUCUUUCUCUCUCUUCCGAAAUCAACUCCGCCUCUCUCUCUCGUGAUCUCUCCUCCUCGACUAUCUCUCCUUGGCUCUGUGCCGCGUUAUCCCUCAUCCUCUCCAUGAAUUCCUCCCAAGCUUGCUUCUUCCACUCUCCUCUUCGACCCAUCUCGCUUCCCCAAUCCUCCUAUGGUUUCUUCUCAAAGCGUAAGCUUCUCUUCCUCUGAUUACAUCUGAAUCAAAGCAAUUACUUAUCAGGACACAGUCUGUUGCUGAUAAAUUAAGAAUCAGAGCAAUCACUUAUCUGUCAAUUGAUUCUGUUUUGUUGCUUUUGUUUAAUUUCUUGUGGGUUUCUUAAAUAUGACAAUCGAUGUUGAUGCUAUCGAAGAUGAUGAUGAUGUUGUUGAGUCAACUGCUUCUGCUUUUGAUCGAGCUAAAAUUACAAGAUUGUGAUUGAUGAUGAUACCAAGUGAUCAUGUAAAUGUGUUGUGCACAGGUCCUUUGUCAUGUUCUUCCAUCCUUGCACUUCUCUCCAAUACUCUGUUUUUGCAGCCACAGAGAGAACAUAUGUGGUGCCUAGACGACAACAUGAGACCAGAGCUUCCUGGGUUUUAUUUCGACGAGGAGAGAAGAAAUAUUUUGCAAUUAAAGGUCUUAUCCCAGGUUCAAAACCUUCUUCUUCUUCUUCAAAAGCAGCAGAACAAAAGCCUGAAUCAAAGCCUUUCAAGGAACCUAAUUAUCAGAAGAGAAAUUAACUGAAAGCAUUGAAGCUGCUUUGUUCCCGAGAGCUACGUGGCAGUGUUAUUGCUCUUAAUAAUAAGAAGAACAAGUCUAACUUCAAGGAGGAGAUUGAAAAGACACACGCCUCUAACCCUCUGGUGUGGAGAUAUGAUUCUACGGAAAACAUAGGCGAUGCUGCUUUGAAAGAGUUUCAGGUUGAUAUACAAACAUCUCAAGGCCUCACCACAAAGAACAUCCUAGUAGGAGGCAGUAAUUGAGGCUGCUUGAGGUAUGUUCUAUGAGUUAAGUCUCUUCCUAGAAUUAACAACAUUAGAUUGUUUUCAUUCCGAUCUAUAUGCUUUGGACAUGUCUAAUUUUUUUUUUUAAGACCCCCUAAAUAAAAAACUACCAUUGGAAGGUAUGAAUCAAAGUGUUUGUUAAACAAGGUUCUUAAUUACAUUUAAUUAGUAAAAUAUUCAUUAAGAGACCCGAUGAAAUCUGUGGGUUAAUGAUGCUCUAAUGUUGCUCUUAGCAAAUAUUCUUACAAAAUUCAGUUUAUAAACUUUUGGGUGUCAGAUGACCCCAUUGCUCAUCACGUGGGUCCGCCACUGACGCUAAGCUUUAUCAACAGAUUUUUUAAAGUAAUUUUGUAAUUUGAAAACAAUUAAACCGUAUCAUAGGAAAAGUAGUCUUUAAUUAUUCAGAUAGUCUGAUUAAGUACACCGAACCAUAGAAUACAAAAGAUUAAAAAGGAAAUAAGAAAAAGUUUACAAAGAUAAGGCUCCUCUAAAUACUAUAUUAGGCCAAACAAAGGAAUAUUACAUACUAACUCUAUAAGUCACUCCUGGCUAGCUACGAAUAAACUAACCACACCUUUAGCUCUUGGAGAAUGAAGAUCUUAAUUUUGUCACAUCUCUUAUAGUUUGGUUGCUCACGCAUACAAAAAUUUAAAUUAGUAAUACAUAUUCUACUUGUACUUUUUUUUUCUACUUAUACUUUUGAUUGAACUGUUUUUACGAUAAGGCAAUUCCAAUCAAAUUAAAGAGUGUCAACAAGGUUCAAAAUCGAAUUUUGAAAACUUUUUUUUUUAAAUCGAAGGAACUUUAUUAAAGAAGCAAUAUAUACAAUAAACAACAAAGACAGAAUUAAACCAUACAGAGAACAUUGAUCAAUUAUGACCUGCAAUAGAGUCCCGUGCUGAUCAUAAUACCAAUUGAGGCUUGUUUCAAAUCUUUCAUUCCGCACAACUUGAACACGUGACGGGCUUCAGUCACAUAUUUAAACCAGUUUUUUUCAGUAUAUACAUUAAACGGUUUUUUGAACUUGCAAAAAGACCCGUUCCAAACUAAUUCUGAUUAAAAGACCAGAUUUUCUUACACCUUACAGCGUUUAAAAAAAAUUAUAAAGGAGUGGAAGUUAUGUAUUCUAGUAUUGAUUAAUGUUAACGCUGCUGCUAUUAUAAAUAAUUGUUAUUAGUGAUAUCUACAAGUACUGCACAAAAAAACCUUGUGGUUCAAAACAAUGCGCUCGUCUCCCAGCAUUAACCAAAAGUAUUAAAUAAAAAGUAAAGUUAGGUAUAAGUGUUUUCUUUAAUACAAAAUAUAUUAUUUCAAACCGGAACGGGAAUUUUAGAUCCGGUUACAAGCACGAUUCAAACAAAAUAACCCAAGUCAACGUAUUACAGAACCGGUUUCGCCCACCAACUAAACCUGGCACGUUCCAUCGGUCUGAUUUUAAAAUCCCUACGAACCGGUAGCCGUUCUCAACCUUCGAAAAUGACCAUUGGGAAGUGAGGUUUUCCUCGUUGCCUCGGAUGCCGGGAUUUCCGCUGUUGUCUCCGGAGUAACCAACUAUGAACCAGAGCAACCAACUAUGAACGUGUCGACAAGCUCAAAGAUGGAUCGUAGAAAUCACCGGAAGAGGAGAGACAAGUGAGAGAGAGGCUCUCAAAAACACAACGAGGAUGCCAUAUACGACAUCUCCGACCCGUGGCGUUGAGCACCUCCACGAAACCAAACACCGAGACCGUUGACACACGAAAACGGCACCAGCUAAGCUCGUUCCUGAGUAGUCGGACCUCCAGGACUCUCACGACGCAGACGAAAAAAUCGAAUCUAACCCAAGACGCCAAGAGUUAGACGACAGACCCACACCGACGCCGUCCAGCCUCAGACCCACAACAACAACCAGAAUAAACUGGACGCCGGAUCUGAAAGAGAACCGCUCUUCCUCCUCCAAUCGCCACCUACUCUCCAAGUAGCUUUAAGGAGCCACCUGCAAAACCCUAAGAACCGACCCUGCCAACAGCAACCACACCGCACGCCGCGCCUUGACUCCAAGAUCUAGCCUAGCCCGUGCCGGAACCGGAGCUCCUCGCGAUUAGAGACGGCACCGAACAAACUAUCCGAUACAUAGUCGCAACAAAGAGGAGAGAGUGAGAGACACCAUGACAAAGCAAAAGACAAAUGAGAGCGAGAGAGAGAAGAGGAGGUGCCUCCGGCUCCGUCCGGACGCCGGAGCGUUACUCAAUUUGAUUUUAGGUCUUGACUCGUGAGAGAGAGUUUACGGGAAGAAGAGAGAAAGUUUUAACAAUUUCAAAGCCGAGUUACACAAGGUCCAGUUAGGUAUAAGUGUUGUUUGAGUAAAAUAACAAAAUCAGGAACUAACUAAAUAAAUCCCACCCCAGAAAUUAAUUAUGACUAGUUAUAAAUUGUUUCGAUGAUGUUUUGUGACUCUUGAAAGUGAACGCGGUUUCGAAUGAGGUCCCUAGCUCACCAUGCAUAUCUCUAGAAAAACAACGAUUCGACGGUGGGAAUAUCUUUUAAAAUAGAGAUGAUAUAGUGAUUUAUAGUAACUGACCAACACCAAAUUACUAAAAAACUAUUAUUCAUUCUAGCCAAUUCAGACAAAGGAAAUUCAAUGAUAAUAUACUUAGUAGUUAGUAGUAGCCUUUAGCCAUUUACUGAUUAUUUGCCGACAUUUAGAUUUUGUUUUUACAAAGAAAUAACGAAAGCAAAUUAUUUGUAUUUUUCGCUCUCGUGCUUGUCGAGUUGUGGUAGUAAAUUACUAAUUUCCGCAACGGUAAAAGUGAGUAGAUUCUCUUUUCUUAAAAGAUGCAGUAAGUUGUGUUCUUGUGUAACAAGGCUUAGAUCGCAUGUUUUAUUUGUCGACUACCUUUCAAUAUUUAUUCCUCCAAUAGCGUCAAAUAGUUACUGUAUACAAAUUGUAUAAUGCAUUAUACAAGUGCCCUUAUUUAACGGAGUCUAGUAAAAUAAACAUAUUGUUGUUUUCCUACUAAUUUGUUAUUAUUCAACUGUUAGUUUUAUUUUAGUUUUAUUUUCAUACCACGUAUUUCGCUCAUGUGUUAUUGAAUAAACCAAAAUUUAAAGGUUCAAUACUCUUUCCGUUUCAUUUUAAUUAUUGUUUUAGACUUGGACACACAGAUUAAUAAAACAUUUUAUUUUGUAUAUUUACUAAAUAAAAACAUCAUUACCAA